RNAcentral lists this ribosomal RNA (321 nucleotides) under Salmonella enterica subsp. enterica serovar Newport. RNAcentral describes it as "partial 23S ribosomal RNA". It matches the Rfam family "Bacterial large subunit ribosomal RNA", at positions 717 to 1035 of the family's 2925-position model. The record is from RNAcentral. Lineage: Bacteria; Pseudomonadati; Pseudomonadota; Gammaproteobacteria; Enterobacterales; Enterobacteriaceae.
GAAACCCGGUGAUCUAGCCAUGGGCAGGUUGAAGGUUGGGUAACACUAACUGGAGGACCGAACCGACUAAUGUUGAAAAAUUAGCGGAUGACCUGUGGCUGGGGGUGAAAGGCCAAUCAAACCGGGAGAUAGCUGGUUCUCCCCGAAAGCUAUUUAGGUAGCGCCUCGUGAAUUCAUCUCCGGGGGUAGAGCACUGUUUCGGCUAGGGGGCCAUCCCGGCUUACCAACCCGAUGCAAACUGCGAAUACCGGAGAAUGUUAUCACGGGAGACACACGGCGGGUGCUAACGUCCGUCGUGAAGAGGGAAACAACCCAGACCGC